UUAUUGGAGAGUUUGAUCCUGGCUCAGGACGAACGCUGGCGGCGUGCCUAAUACAUGCAAGUCGAGCGGACAGAGAUGAGAGCUUGCUCUUAUCAAAGUUAGCGGCGGACGGGUGAGUAACACGUGGGCAACCUGCCUGUAAGACUGGGAUAACUUCGGGAAACCGAAGCUAAUACCGGAUAACUGUAGAGUGUGCAUACACUUUAUAUAAAAGAUGCUACGGCAUCACUUACAGAUGGGCCCGCGUCGCAUUAGCUAGUUGGUGAGGUAACGGCUCACCAAGGCAACGAUGCGUAGCCGACCUGAGAGGGUGAUCGGCCACACUGGAACUGAGACACGGUCCAGACUCCUACGGGAGGCAGCAGUAGGGAAUCUUCCGCAAUGGGCGAAAGCCUGACGGAGCAACGCCGCGUGAGCGAAGAAGGUCUUCGGAUUGUAAAGCUCUGUCUUUAAGGAA
RNAcentral lists this non-coding RNA (457 nucleotides) under Desulfuribacillus alkaliarsenatis. RNAcentral's name for it is "low GC Gram-positive bacterium strain AHT28 Bacterial small subunit ribosomal RNA". It matches the Rfam family "Bacterial small subunit ribosomal RNA", at positions 1 to 446 of the family's 1533-position model. Lineage: Bacteria; Bacillati; Bacillota; Desulfuribacillia; Desulfuribacillales; Desulfuribacillaceae. The record is from Rfam by way of RNAcentral.